UGCGUCCUACGGGAGGCAGCAGUGGGGGGUAUUGCACAAUGGGGGGAACCCUGAUGCAGCGACGCCGCGUGGAUGAAGGAGUGCUUCGGCAUGUAAAGCCCUAUCGGCAGGGAAGAAGCAAGACGGUACCUGACUAAGAAGCCCCGGCUAACUACGUGCCAGCAGCCGCGGUAAUACGUUGGGGGCGAGCGUUAUCCGGAUUCACUGGGUGUAAAGGGAGCGUAGACGGCC
Molecule: ribosomal RNA, 231 nt
Filed under: uncultured bacterium
Lineage: Bacteria
Description: partial 16S ribosomal RNA
Rfam family: Bacterial small subunit ribosomal RNA
Source: RNAcentral